This 253-nucleotide ribosomal RNA is filed under the name uncultured bacterium. RNAcentral describes it as "partial 16S ribosomal RNA". It matches the Rfam family "Bacterial small subunit ribosomal RNA", at positions 524 to 776 of the family's 1533-position model. The record is from RNAcentral.
UACGGAGGGGGCUAGCGUUAUUCGGAAUUACUGGGCGUAAAGCGCACGUAGGCGGAUUAGAAAGUCAGAGGUGAAAUCCCAGGGCUCAACCUUGGAACUGCCUUUGAAACUUCUAGUCUUGAGGUCGAGAGAGGUGAGUGGAAUUCCGAGUGUAGAGGUGAAAUUCGUAGAUAUUCGGAGGAACACCAGUGGCGAAGGCGGCUCACUGGACCAUUCUUGACGCUGAGGUACGAAAGCGUGGGGAGCAAACAGG